GCCUCGGUGGUGUAGUGGUAGCACGCAUCCCUGGUAUGGAUAAAACGCCAGUUCGUCUUCCGUCUGAGGUC
Molecule: non-coding RNA, 71 nt
Organism: Parelaphostrongylus tenuis
Lineage: Eukaryota; Metazoa; Nematoda; Chromadorea; Rhabditida; Metastrongylidae
Source: the annotation of a GenBank genome assembly